UUCGAGGCUCAUCGGUAGAGCGCGUCACUAGUAAUGACGAGGUGAUUGGUUCGAUUCCAGUAGCGUAA
This 68-nucleotide transfer RNA is filed under the name Dothistroma septosporum NZE10. Its description in RNAcentral is "tRNA-Thr for anticodon AGU". The stretch from base 6 to 61 matches the Rfam family "tRNA", at positions 9 to 63 of the family's 71-position model. From Rfam's summary of the family: Transfer RNA (tRNA) molecules are approximately 80 nucleotides in length. Their secondary structure includes four short double-helical elements and three loops (D, anti-codon, and T loops). The record is from RNAcentral. Lineage: Eukaryota; Fungi; Ascomycota; Dothideomycetes; Mycosphaerellales; Mycosphaerellaceae.